ACAACCUCAACUCCUUCUUCAUUGCGGAGAAAGAGUUGGAUUUGAGCAUUUCCACAAGUUCGUCUUGGAGGAUUGCUUGAAAUACGAGGUUCGGCCGGCAGUUGCCUGGGCUACAAGCAUUUCAUACUUAAUCCCGUCAAACGGAUUAUAUCCUUUGCUGCAGCCAACAUACAGGGUGACUUUUUGCCAGUGUUCCGACUGAUGCAGGAAAGUUGAGAACUUGGUUCUCUUCUAA
RNAcentral lists this unclassified non-coding RNA (235 nucleotides) under uncultured Mortierella. Its description in RNAcentral is "sequence contains ITS2". The record is from RNAcentral. Lineage: Eukaryota; Fungi; Mortierellomycota; Mortierellomycetes; Mortierellales; Mortierellaceae.